Molecule: ribosomal RNA, 747 nt
Filed under: uncultured bacterium
Lineage: Bacteria
Description: bacterial SSU rRNA
Rfam family: Bacterial small subunit ribosomal RNA
Source: RNAcentral
UGGCGACCGGCGCACCGGUGAGUAACACGUAUUCAACCUUCCGAUAACUCGGGGAUAGCCUUUCGAAAGAAAGAUUAAUACUCGAUAGUAUAUUUUCUUCGCAUGUUGAAAAUAUUAAAGAAUUUCGGUUAUCGAUGGGAAUGCGUUCCAUUAGGCAGUUGGCGGGGUAACGGCCCACCAAACCUACGAUGGAUAGGGGUUCUGAGAGGAAGGUCCCCCACAUUGGAACUGAGACACGGUCCAAACUCCUACGGGAGGCAGCAGUGAGGAAUAUUGGUCAAUGGACGCAAGUCUGAACCAGCCAAGUAGCGUGAAGGAUGACUGCCCUAUGGGUUGUAAACUUCUUUUAUAUGGGAAUAAAGUGCGCCACGUGUGGUGUUUUGUAUGUACCAUUAUGAAUAAGCAUCGGCUAACUCCGUGCCAGCAGCCGCGGUAAUACGGAGGAUGCGAGCGUUAUCCGGAUUUAUUGGGUUUAAAGGGAGCGUAGGUGGGCUGGUAAGUCAGCUGUGAAAGUUUGCGGCUCAACCGUAAAAUUGCAGUUGAUACUGUCAGUCUUGAGUACAGUAGAGGUUAGCGGAAUUCGUGGUGUAGCGGUGAAAUGCUUAGAUAUCACGAAGAACUCCAAUUGCGAAGGCAGCUGACUAGACUGUUACUGACACUGAUGCUCGAAAGUGUGGGUAUCAAACAGGAUUAGAUACCCUGGUAAUCCACACAGUAAACGAUGAAUACUCGCUGUUUGCGAUAUAC